CUUUGGCAAAGGUACUGUGUUUCUCCGAACCUCGCCUGUGAAAGGGAUUUAAAGAUUUAAAGGGAUUUAAAGCCUGUCUUCAAGGGCUGCUGGGAGGAGUCGGUGAGAUGGAGCACAUCUAGUGCUUGGCGGAGUGCUUGGCACAUACUUGGCCCUGUCGGCAUUAACUGCUGUCCUCAGGCCCGGGCUCUGCUGGGGCUGUGUGAGCCGCCCAUGCCCAGCUCCAGCGGAGCACUAUUGUCUUGGCCAUGCUGGUUGGUAUCCUGUUUUUUACCCUAAAUUUUAAGAAGGGGCUUUUCCUUGUGGGUGUGGCUACAGUGCCUGAACCUGGGAGGAAUCUGAGGAGAGUGUGAUUGGGAAGGCCCCUUACAUGAUUCUGUUCCCAGCUGGGUGCCAAGAAAGGCCUAGGGGCCCAGAAGGUGAGCAGCCAGAGCUUCAGUGAGAUUGAGCGGCAGGCUCAGGUGGCAGAGAAGCUCCGUGAGCAGCAGGCAGCCGAUGCCAAGAAGCAGGCGGAGGAGUCCAUGGUCGCCUCCAUGCGUCUGGCCUACCAGGAGCU
This 556-nucleotide small RNA is filed under the name Pan troglodytes (chimpanzee). RNAcentral describes it as "retained intron". The record is from RNAcentral. Lineage: Eukaryota; Metazoa; Chordata; Mammalia; Primates; Hominidae.